AAUGGGGGAAACCCUGACGCAGCAACGCCGCGUGGGUGAUGAAGGCCUUCGGGUCGUAAAGCCCUGUCGGGAGGGAAGAAAUGAUUGAGAGCUAAUACCUCUUGGUCUUGACGGUACCUCCGAAGGAAGCACCGGCUAACUCCGUGCCGGCAGCCGCGGUAAUACGGAGGGUGCAAGCGUUGUUCGGAAUUAUUGGGCGUAAAGCGCGUGUAGGCGGUCUUUUAAGUCUGAUGUGAAAGCCCCGGGCUCAACCUGGGAAGUGCAUUGGAAACUGGGAGACUUGAGUACGGGAGAGGAGAGUAGAAUUCCUAGUGUAGCGGUGAAAUGCGUAGAUAUUAGGAGGAAUACCAGUUGCGAAGGCGGCUCUCUGGACUGUAACUGACACUGAGGCACGAAAGCGUGGGGAGCAAA
RNAcentral lists this ribosomal RNA (411 nucleotides) under uncultured bacterium. RNAcentral's name for it is "bacterial SSU rRNA". It matches the Rfam family "Bacterial small subunit ribosomal RNA", at positions 370 to 772 of the family's 1533-position model. The record is from RNAcentral.